CGAGCACACAGAAGCCACGUCAAGCUCAUUGGCAGCAGCAAGUGCCAUUCAAAGACCCGGGGCACUGUCAAGAUUUCAAAAAGCAUUCGGGAGGGAAUACUACUCAAUUAUUUCAGCUUUUCGAAAACUGAAAAACCGUGACGGAGAGAUUACUUUCUUCGCAAGUGAAACGAAGAAAAAAAAAGAAAAGAAAAAAAAGAACUCAGGACAACUGUUAUGUGUAAAGAGGCUUUCCGCAGUAUCCUUGACGGCCAUCGAGUCCUAACUAGUGAGGAAGGUGAAGUUUUAGGACUUUUUGCAAACUUUGCAAGGAUAAAGACAAGAAAGAGAGAAACUUCUUAAGUAAAGAACACAGACUGAGGAGCACCAAGUCCAGUGGGUUAAAGGCCAGAGUCAUUGUCAGCCACUAUGAGUGGUGCACUACUUUGUGUCGGUCUAUCAAACGAAAUCCCACGAAAUUCAUUGAAGUUUGGGGUGCCAACUUGGCGACAUGGAAAAAUUAAAAGGAGCCUGUCAUUCUUGACUUUGGAUCUCUUAUUCUAAAAUGUUUGCUGCAUUUGGGUUCCUAUCGUGAACUCCAUGAACUUCAUCAAUCUAUGAAAUGUGUUUUAACGCUAUAACUUUUGGGGUGGGGGAAAUAAAUAAAUAAAUAAA
This is a long non-coding RNA of Poecilia latipinna (sailfin molly), 654 nucleotides long. RefSeq lists it as uncharacterized. NCBI's taxonomy places the organism in Eukaryota, Metazoa, Chordata, Actinopteri, Cyprinodontiformes, Poeciliidae. The record is from RefSeq and is a predicted model, not a curated record. The transcript is spliced from 4 exons.